GACGAACGCUGGCGGCAUGCCUAACACAUGCAAGUCGAACGAGACCUCCGGGUCUUGUGGCGCACGGCUGCGUAACGCGUGGGAACCUGCCCUUGGGUUCGGUAUACCUCCCCGAAAGGGGUCCUCAUACCGGAUAAUGUCUUCGGACCAAAGAUUUCUCGCCUUUGGCUGGGCGCGCGUUGGAUUCGCUAGUUGGUAGGGUAAAAGCCUACCAAGGCCAGGUUCCAUAGCUGGUCUGGGAGCAUGCUUAGCCACACUGGGACUGAGACACGGCCCAGACUCCUACGGGAGGCAGGAGUGGGUAAUAUUGGACAAGGGGCGAAAGCCUGACCCAGCAAGGCCGGGUGAGAGAUCAAGGCCGUAGGGUUGUAAAGCUCUUUUACACGGGAUGAUAAUGACGGUACCGGGAGAAUAAGCACCGGCUAACUCCGUG
RNAcentral lists this ribosomal RNA (433 nucleotides) under uncultured bacterium. Its description in RNAcentral is "partial 16S ribosomal RNA". It matches the Rfam family "Bacterial small subunit ribosomal RNA", at positions 28 to 507 of the family's 1533-position model. The record is from RNAcentral.